GAUGAAGAACGUAGCGAAAUGCGAUAAGUAAUGUGAAUUGCAGAAUUCCGUGAAUCAUCGAAUCUUUGAACGCAUAUUGCGCCCUCUGGCAUUCCGGAGGGCAUGCCUGUCCGAGCGUCAUUACUAUCUUCAAGCACAGCUUGGUUGUUGAGCCCAAUUGUCCUCUAAUGGACAGGCUUGAAAUGCAGCGGCGAUGCCAUGUUUGGUGCCCGAGUGUAUGGGCUUUGUCACACACUUUUGUGGCCCAGCUGGCGUUGUCUUUUAAAGUACAUAAUAACUAAGAUUUGACCUCGGAUCAGGUAGGGAUACCCGCUGAACUUAAGCAUAUCAAUAAGCGGAGGA
RNAcentral lists this unclassified non-coding RNA (342 nucleotides) under soil metagenome. Its description in RNAcentral is "partial contains 5.8S ribosomal RNA, internal transcribed spacer 2, and large subunit ribosomal RNA". The stretch from base 1 to 120 matches the Rfam family "5.8S ribosomal RNA", at positions 35 to 154 of the family's 154-position model. The record is from RNAcentral.